This 492-nucleotide ribosomal RNA is filed under the name uncultured bacterium. RNAcentral describes it as "partial 16S ribosomal RNA". It matches the Rfam family "Bacterial small subunit ribosomal RNA", at positions 29 to 507 of the family's 1533-position model. The record is from RNAcentral.
AGUGAACGCUGGCGGUAGGCCUAACACAUGCCAGUCGAACGGCAGCACAGUAAGAGCUUGCUCUUACGGGUGGCGAGUGGCGGACGGGUGAGGAAUACAUCGGAAUCUACUUUUUCGUGGGGGAUAACGUAGGGAAACUUACGCUAAUACCGCAUACGACCUACGGGUGAAAGCAGGGGAUCUUCGGACCUUGCGCGAUUGAAUGAGCCGAUGUCGGAUUAGCUAGUUGGCGGGGUAAAGGCCCACCAAGGCGACGAUCCGUAGCUGGUCUGAGAGGAUGAUCAGCCACACUGGAACUGAGACACGGUCCAGACUCCUACGGGAGGCAGCAGUGGGGAAUAUUGGACAAUGGGCGCAAGCCUGAUCCAGCCAUACCGCUUGGGUGAAGAAGGCCUUCGGGUUGUAAAGCCCUUUUGUUGGGAAAGAAAAGCAGCAGGUUAAUACCCCGCUGUCCUGACGGUACCCAAAGAAUAAGCACCGGCUAACUUCGUG